RNAcentral lists this long non-coding RNA (246 nucleotides) under Ananas comosus (pineapple). RNAcentral's name for it is "long non-coding RNA (ACOM_LNC038478)". Lineage: Eukaryota; Viridiplantae; Streptophyta; Magnoliopsida; Poales; Bromeliaceae. The record is from RNAcentral.
GUUCAUAAACGGAGCUAAAAGGGACCCGGAGAGAAAAUCUGAAAAUCUGGCUAAGUCCCAGAUUUUGAGCUCUCGGGGACCGGUCCCUGAAGGAGAGACCGGUCCCCGUGCGCGUAGCCUACCAGGAAGUCCUGAGGCAUCCGGUCCUUGAUAGUGAGACCGGUCCUCGGGAGACCGGUCCCUGACGGGCAGACCGGUCCCUCGCUGCGCAACAGCUGAAAAAACUCAAAAUUUGGUUAAGUCCUG